CCUGUGGUGAAAGAAACAGCACUGACGUCAGCAAUAAAGUACAUACAUGUGCUUCUGGCCGGACACCCAAGAAAGAGAAAUGCCCGCUGCCUCCAAAGAGAGGGACUGCAGCUGGGGGCAGGGAGAGCUGCGCAACUUCCUCAGGAACCUUUGGGAUUCAAACCACAUGGAUCCAGGAAUUGGUAGAAAAGCAGUACCAAAUGACAUGCCUCCAUGAGAAGAGGGCUUCUUCUGCCACACACUCCCAACAUGGUGUACUGCUUCACCACAGGCCCAACAGUGACAGUGUCAACGGACCAUGAUCUGAAACCUACAAAACUGUCAGCUCAAACAAACCUUUCCUCUUCUUAAGUUGAUUAUCUAAGGUAUUUUGUUAGAGUAACAGAAAACUAACUAACACAUCCAUCAAACAAUCUCAAAUGAUAUUUGAGUCUGAUACUAUGAUAUCAGACCCCAAGUUAUCACUUUAGUAGAGCUAAGUCUAUACCAAGCAACUGGAUCAACGCAUGAGGCCAAAGGUUACCUAAAGUCAAGGGUGCACUGUCCUUACCACCAGCUAUUUAAACUAUAACUCAGACUAUCCUGGUUAUGUAUGUGACUCAGUAAAACAAUACUGCAGGACUAAGGCAAAAUGUUUACCACAUUCAGGAGGGGAUGUGAGACCCCAGGCUGACCCUUGUUCCUAGAGAAGCUACAUGCACUAACUGUAUUAUGCCCUCCCUGACAAGAAGCAAUCAUAGCUUUCAGAGCUGGGAUUUAUUUUUCUCAUACAAGCAGCCUGACUUCAUCCUGCUCUUCUGGCUUCUCAACUACAGAAAUUGUCAGUCAUUGUCCCAGAAUUCCUUUUGGAAUUCCAACUAGCUGGAAAAGCAUGGCUGGGUUUAGGACAACAGUCUCAGCUCUCUCUCCAGAACAAUUACUGGUCCACAUUCUUUAGAGGAAAGAAAAUGACAAUCAAUGUGAUAUAACUUCAAGGAAAUUAUAAAUACUUCUCAUCUAAAUACUGCUAAAUUAUAAUUUAGUUCAAUUUUGGUUUGUUUUGUUUUUUGAGACAGUGUUUCACUACUUUGCCCAGGUCAGUCUUGAACUCUGGGCUCAAGCCAGCCUUGGGAGUAGCUGGGACUGCAGGCACAAGCCACUGACCAGUUGUAACUCAGGGAUUUUAUGUUGCCUCUGUAAUAAAUAUUUCGUUUGAAGGCAGGGCAAGUGUUCUACCACUGAGCUAUAUCCCCAGCCCUGGAAGUCAAAUGCUAUGAUUCUGAUGCUAACCAACUAUCUAUCCACUGGGGUUUUUAUCAUAAGGCAUGAUGGUGAGAUUACCCAAAGAAUGACUAGAUUUUGGCCACCUAAAAAGCAUAAUUGAGCCAAAGUGGUACACUCCUGUAAUCCCAGCAAUUUGGGAGGCUGAGGCAAGAGGAUAGAAAGUUCAAAGCCAACUUAGCAACUUAGUGAGACCCUGUCUCAAAAGAAAAAAAUUUUUUAAAAGGGCUAGGGAUGUGGCUCAGUGGUAAAGCACCCCUGGGUUCAAUCCCCAGUACCAAAAUAAAGCAUAAUUAAACUAUGAACUCAAAACUGUGAGCUCAUUAAUUCUAUUUCCUCCUUUUCCUAUAAACUUCACCAGAAACAAAGUCAACUUUCAUUAACAGGGCCACUCAAUGUUACCCCCCCACUAAGAACAUGAUAAAGAUGGUGGCCCUCCCUGUGAAAAGCUGGUAGAGUAUUCAUCAUAGGACUCAUGCGCUGAAAGGAGAAAAGUGCUAAAUGGUUUUUUCUUACCUGGGACAUAUUUAAAAUUUUCAGAGUGAAAUUCUCCAACCCUGUCACAUUCCUCUCCUCACAGUUCACCUUUGGGGACUUGAGGCUCUCGGUGUUAUUGGUGUCCUCUGCAGGGGCAGGAUCAGGUUCCACCACCUCAGGCUCCGCAUAGUACUCUUCUUCUCUUUCAGGGAAGCUUGUCCCACCUCUGUCCAGAGAGAAGAGGCUGUCUCGGGCGCUGCACCUUGAGUCUUCCUCUCCAUCAGCACCACAGGUGCCACCACUGGGCUCCGAGCUCCGUCUGUCCUCAGCUUCCCCAGGAAUCACAGACAGCACCACCAUGGGAUCUCGGUUAGCAUCCAGCCCCAGCCCAGCACCAGCCUCCUCCGCAGCCCUGUCCUGGCCCGUGCGGUCAUGUAGGGGCUCCUCCUCGCUCAGGUACACAGCCCCUGCCUGGAGAUGGGAAGCCGGCUGCCCCUCUGACCAUAUGUGAUCAUUUUUCUCUGCAACUAAAACAUGCCAGCAUGUUCAGUGACACUCGACUCAAAAAUAAAUGAACUCUUCAAAAAAUGAAAUUUUCGCCUGUGGAGAAAAAGUUAUGCUUCCCAUCAGACUAUCAGAGAGCUAUCACCAUUCUCCUUUUCAGGAAGAUUGUCACCAAUCUAGACUAAUGGAUACCAAAUAAGUAGACAAAUACAUAGGUUCACCUGGACCCUAGUGCCUGCCUUAUGGGUUAUAACCAAAACAUUCUGGUGCAGACAUCUGAUCAGGAAAAUAUGAUAUAAACACUUCAACAUUUUCGUUUGCUUGAUGAGAAUACUUAAUAAAAUAAUUGUUAUUGCUGU
Molecule: non-coding RNA, 2600 nt
Organism: Ictidomys tridecemlineatus (thirteen-lined ground squirrel)
Lineage: Eukaryota; Metazoa; Chordata; Mammalia; Rodentia; Sciuridae
Source: RefSeq, a predicted model, not a curated record